CCUACGGGGUGCAGCAGUGGGGGAUAUUGCACAAUGGGGGGAACCCUGAUGCAGCGACGCCGCGUGAGCGAAGAAGUACCUCGGUAUGUAAAGCUUUAUCAGUAGGGAAGAAAAUGACGGUACCUGACUAAGAAGCCCCGGCUAAAUACGUGCCAGCAGCCGCGGCAACACGUAGGGGGCAAGCGUUAUCCGGAUUUACGGGGGGUAAUGGGAGUUCAGGCGGCCUGCUAAGGCUGGUGGGAAAACCCGGGGCCCAACCCCGGGCCUGCAUUGGAAACUGGCGGGCUGGAGUGUCGGAGGGGCAGGCGGAAUGCCUGGUGUAGCGGUGAAAUGCGUAGAUAUUAGGAAGAACACCGAUGGCGAAGGCAGCCUACUGGACGCUGACUGACGCUGAGGCUCGAAAGCGUGGGUAGCAAACAGGAUUAGAUACCCUAGUAGUC
RNAcentral lists this ribosomal RNA (440 nucleotides) under uncultured bacterium. RNAcentral's name for it is "partial 16S ribosomal RNA". It matches the Rfam family "Bacterial small subunit ribosomal RNA", at positions 338 to 795 of the family's 1533-position model. The record is from RNAcentral.